Molecule: ribosomal RNA, 250 nt
Filed under: uncultured bacterium
Lineage: Bacteria
Description: partial 16S ribosomal RNA
Rfam family: Bacterial small subunit ribosomal RNA
Source: RNAcentral
UACAGAGGGUGCGAGCGUUGUUCGGAAUUAUUGGGCGUAAAGCGCGUGUAGGCGGGAUCGUAUGUCGGGUGUGAAAGCCCUCAGCUCAACUGAGGAAGUGCGCCCGAAACUGCGGUUCUUGAGUGUCGGAGAGGGUGGCGGAAUUCCCGGUGUAGAGGUGAAAUUCGUAGAUAUCGGGAGGAACACCAGUAGCGAAGGCGGCCACCUGGACGAACACUGACGCUGAGACGCGAAAGCGUGGGGAGCAAAC